Long non-coding RNA from Aethalodelphis obliquidens (Pacific white-sided dolphin), 643 nucleotides. RefSeq lists it as uncharacterized. The record is from RefSeq and is a predicted model, not a curated record. NCBI's taxonomy places the organism in Eukaryota, Metazoa, Chordata, Mammalia, Artiodactyla, Delphinidae. The transcript has 3 exons.
ACCAGGACGUGACUGGAGCCUACACACCGGAACCCCUUCGCAAAGCGAAGGGUCCAGCGUCCAGGAAGAUCAGUAUUUUCCAGAAUUCUUUUCCCUGUGUGGUUGGCCACAAGUGAAAUUUGCAAGAGACUCAGAACGUGGAAAGGAAGCAACAGGCACUGUCUUCUGAAGGUCAGUGUAAGGUGCCAGGGGUCACUGUAGCUCCCACACUUCGCACCAGACAAAGUUAAACAGCCACAGAAGAAUUUGUUCAAGAAUAUUGCAAUAGGAGAGAAGACUGAACUCAACUCUACUGAAACGCAAGGCCAUCUGUCUGCUCAUUGGUGCCCAUGAAAGUCAGGCUCCUACCUUCCCACAAAGUCUGGGAGAUACAGAUGCUAUCUGCUUUGAUGUUCACAUGUCAGAUGGUCCCCAGGUUUUUGAGAAAGUCACUUCCAGGGUGGUGAAACUGACAAGAGGUUGGAAUGUUUCUAAGGAGCAGAGAAAGAGUUUACAAUUCCAAGUUUCCUAAGGUAAAGUGAUCUAAGAAAGAGGAGGUCAGGGAUCUACAGUUAGGAAGAAACCUGUCUAAAGUUUGGUCAAGCUGAGGGGAAAUGUUUUUUUUUUUUUUGCAGUACGCGGGACUCUCACCGUCGUGGCCUCU